GGCAGGGAGAGCAUUGACAACCCCACAUAAAGGGUAGAAUAUCGGAGUGGGUAGAGAAGGAAGAGCCAGGGCAUUAUGGAGGUGACCCCCUCCUAGACAGGGACUCUGGGAGUGGGAGCCAUGCCCACAUGUAAAGCCACACAGUUGGGUCCUUUGCUUUCUUGUCCUCCUUCAGGCUGUUUUAGACACUCUGAGGUCUACAUUGCUCACCUCAGAGCCAGAUAUACUUUCUAGCCCUUAAGAUGGAUACUAGGGUGUUUGCUCACCAAGUGGCUAGAUAACUUUCUAGCCCUUAAGGUGGAUACUAGUGGUAUGCAGUAUCUGUUACUUUGUCUCAUUGCUGAGUCAGAAUACCCCUGACAAAAGCAACUUAAGAAAGGAAGAUGCUAUGGGGUGUGUGUGUUAGUUUAUUGAUGUGGGGAAACUGUGGUGCCAGGUGCGGCAGCUGCUACGAUGUAUCCAUAGUCAGGAAGGCAGCUGCUACAAUGUAUCCAUAGUCAGGAAGCAGAGAAGGACAUGAACGCUGGUGCUCAACUCACUGACUCCCUGUAUUCAGAGACCUCCCAGCCUAUGGGUUGGUAGAUCUUCCGAACUCAGUUCACCUAAUCUAUAUAACCUCAGAUAGACAGGACCGGUGGCUGGUCUCUUCAGUGUUUCUAGUACAGUGGUUCCCAACCUGUGGGUCCCAAUGUCUUUGGGAUAGGGGUAUUGAACAACCCUCUCAUAGGGGUAGCCUAAGGCCAUCGGAAAACAGAUGUUUACAUUACAAUUCACAACAGUAGCAAAAUUACAAUUAUGAAGUAGCCAUAAAAAUAAUUUUAUGAUGGGGGGGCAUCACCACAACACGAGGAACUGUCUUAAAGAGUCCCAGCAUUAGGUAGGUUGAGAAUCACUGACAUGGAGCCUAUUAAGUUGACAUUGAACUUAGCCAUCACACAUGGCUUUUGAUGCCUUCCUUGGUGGCGUGGGUGGCGGCACCAAGAUGACAGCAAGGAUAGAUAUAUGUCUCUCAUGAAUCCCUGAGUAGUCUAGGGUCUUCCUCAGGUCACGACCUCCUUGUCACUGGGGAAAUUUUUGCCCUGUCCUCUUGACCCACAUAUGCCAGGUAUACCAUCUGAUCCUCUCCAUAAUCCAAGUGUCUCUCAUCCAGCCCUUUGUGCUUUGUCUUAGUCAGGGUUUCUAUUCCUUCACAAACAUCAGGACCAAGAAGCAAGUUGGGGAGGAAAGGGUUUAUUCAGCUUACACUUCCACAUUGCUGUUCAUCACCAAAGGAAGUCAGGACUGGAAAUCCAGCAGGUCAGGAAGCAGGAGCUGAUGCAGAGGCCAUGGAGGGAUGUUUCUUACUGGCUUGCUUCCCCUGGCUUGCUCAGCUUGCUUUCUUAUAGAACCCAAGACAAUGGGCUGGGUCCUCCAAUCCUUGGUCACUAGUUGAGAAAAUGCCUUACAGCUGGGUAUCAUGGAGGCAUUUUCUCAACUGAGGCUCAUUUCUCUGUGAUAACAAGAUCAAGUUGACACACAAAAUCAGCCAGUACAAUUGACUCCUUGUCGACUUGACACACAAACACAUCACUAUUAAGCUUCAACCCUUACUAUCUUAUUCAUCCCCAAGAUCUAAAUAACUUUAAGAGUCCCACAGUCCUUACAUAUUAAAAAAUGAAUCCUUUAAAAUAUCCAAAAAUCUUAAAAUUCAAAGUCCUUAUGGACUCCACUAAAAUAUUUUCUUCCUUCAAGAGGGAAAAAUAUCAGGGCACAGUCACAAUCAAAAGCAAAGUUAAACUCCAACAGUCCAAUGUGUGGGAUCCACUCACGAUCUUCUAGGAAGGGCUUGGGUCACUUCUCCAGCUCUGCCCUUUGUAGCACACAUCUUGUCUUUUAGGCUCCAGAUGCCUGUUCUCCACUGCUGCUGCUGCUCUAGGUGGUCAUCUCAUGGUACUGGCGUCUCCAAAACGCUGCUGUCUUCUGCUGCAACUAAGCUUCAUCAAUAGCCCCUUGCAGGCUUUAUUCGGCUUACACUUCCACAUUGCUGUUCUCACCAAAGGAAGUCAGGACUGGAACUCAAGCAGGUGGGGAAGCAGGAGCUGAUGCAGCAGCUGGGCCGGAGAGAUGGCUCAGCACUAAUCACACAGGUCUGAAAACCCGACUUCAGUCUCCAGAAACCGAGUCGAAAGCCAAAUGAAUCCGCUCACAUCUAUAAUCCCGGCACUCCAGCAAGACGAGAGAUACAGAACUGCCUGAAGUACCUAGGACAGAGAAGAAACAAGAGAACUCCUGACCCAAUAGGGGGAAGGCAAGAGCUAAGACCCUAAGGUUGUGUGGCCGCUACAUGCUGUUCACAUGCUGUGGCAUGUGCUUGGAACACACCAAGCAACAUUUCACACAAGUUAUUUUUAUAUGCUUUCGCAAAAGAAAUAAAUUUAAAAGUGAAGGCCAGCUUGGAUUGGAGACCACAGUGUACAACAUGCCUUCCUCUUGGUCUUGGCUUCUCCCAGAGACCUUCCGAAAGGUAGCUCGCCUCUUGCUUUCCUCAUAGAGACGCUCUGGGCACAUAUAGAGCUAUAUCCUGACAGGAUUGUUUUUCCUAACUUUAUGGCCCCCGCCAGCAGGUUUUUUAAACAAUUCAGCACAUUUGCAUGAAUCUUCUCUGGAGCUGGUGGCUCUAGAUUCAGAUCUUAGCUGACUUUGGAGGGUUUGAAUGACCUUGGUCAGGAUCCACGACUUCCCCAGGGCUCCAACCCUCAGCUUUCUUAUGCAGAGAAGAAGGUAAUAACAGCAAAUACCGAAACUGGAGCCUGGACCCCCAGGCCCCUAAGUAAAAGGCCUAGCUGUGGCUGCUAGGCAUCUAGAGACAAGACGAUCCCUAGAGCUUGCCUGCCAAUCAGCAUGUAGAGUCAAACCAGUGAGCUCCAGGUUCAGUGAGAGACUCUGUCUCAAGAAACAGGUGAGCAAUAAAGCAUCCACAUUCAAGCAUGCAUGCACACACACGGGGGCAUGAGCUCAUCCAAGAAGUAACUGCCACACUGUGCCUCCUCAGAGACGAUAAUUACAAAGAGACAGUAGGGCACAGCGGAGAGCAGGAACUCGAGGACUAUGGGAAAGGCUAUUGCAGCAUCUGCAGAUAGCACUGCUGCAGGCCAACCCCUGCCAGCUUAGCCCUGAGGAAACUGCUGGAGCUGCCCCCACCGGCAGUGAGGCCUGGGUGACACCAGCAACCCUUGGUUAGGAGCUUGGAAUCGACAGCCCAAUAUAAUGCCUUCUAGGACUUUCAAGCUCUGGGAAGUUGGGCAUGGCCACAUAUCCCAGAUGCUGACAGGGGAAAGUGCAGGUAGUUGGGACAAUGUGGCAGACACUUACUUUUCAGGGUAACUUAUUGUUUGUUGGGAAGGCCAAUAUCAGCAAGGCUGCUACCAGGUCUGAUUCUUCUGCCAGAUGGGAACUAGGGUUCCCUGGGGCACGCACCUCUAAAACAGAUUUUGGGGAGUUACCUUUUCAGUCCUAAAACUAGCUAGAGAAAAGAUUUCAUGGAGUUCAGGAAAAAGAAAAAAAGAGUUGAGGGAGAGUUGGGUUGGACAUGAGUUUACGUCCCAUCUCAGUGACUCUGGUUAUGUGUGAUUUCCCACGCAUAAAACAGGACUGAAAAGAAGCCAUAUGUCCCUUGGGACACCAGCCCAGGAAGAUGAGUGGUGGCCCCUGACUGCAAUCCCAGCACUGAGGAGGCAGAGACAGGAGAUGCCUCUAGCCCGGGACACCCGUGUCAAUAAAAAGAAUCUCUGGAAAGAUUUGUCACAUAGUAAUCACCCUCUAAAGUCAUUGGUUUUUUUUCCCCUCCACCAAGUAGUGGGUUGGGAUUUGCACUCUAUUAGUAAAUGAAUUUAGAGUAGUUGUUGAAUUUCAGCAGUUGCCUGAAGUAGGAGUGGUUUGUCAAGAUUUUUUGGUGUUGAGAAUAAAAUUGGACACUAAUUGAGAAAAAAAA
Molecule: non-coding RNA, 3970 nt
Organism: Rattus norvegicus (Norway rat)
Lineage: Eukaryota; Metazoa; Chordata; Mammalia; Rodentia; Muridae
Source: RefSeq, a predicted model, not a curated record